RNAcentral lists this non-coding RNA (24 nucleotides) under Arabidopsis thaliana (thale cress). The record is from RNAcentral. Lineage: Eukaryota; Viridiplantae; Streptophyta; Magnoliopsida; Brassicales; Brassicaceae.
UACCGGUAUUAUAUUCUGAGUGUA